UACGUAGGGGGCAAGCGUUGUCCGGAAUCAUUGGGCGUAAAGCGCGUGUAGGCGGCCCGGUAAGUCCGCUGUAAAAGUCCAGGGCUCAACCCUGGAAUGCCGGUGGAUACUGUCGGGCUAGAGUCCGGAAGGGGCGAGUGGAAUUCCUGGUGUAGCGGUGAAAUGCGCAGAUAUCAGGAGGAACACCAAUGGCGAAGGCAGCUCGCUGGGACGUGACUGACGCUGAGACGCGAAAGCGUGGGGAGCAAACAGG
This 253-nucleotide ribosomal RNA is filed under the name uncultured bacterium. RNAcentral's name for it is "partial 16S ribosomal RNA". It matches the Rfam family "Bacterial small subunit ribosomal RNA", at positions 524 to 776 of the family's 1533-position model. The record is from RNAcentral.